CCAAACUUGGUCAUUUAGAGGAAGUAAAAGUCGUAACAAGGUUUCCGUAGGUGAACCUGCGGAAGGAUCAUUAACGAGUGAAGGUCUAUUCUAGGCCCUACCUCCCAACCCACUGUUUAUUGAACCUCUUGUUGCUUCGGCGAGCCGGUCCCUUCGGGGAUCGCCCGGUCCUUCCGGGCUUGUGCUCGCCGAUAGCCUCAACCAUCAAACUCUUGAUCAAAUCAUGCGUAGCAUCUUGUCUGAGUACAGAAAACAAAAUAAAAGCAAAAAACUUUCAACAACGGAUCUCUUGGUUCUGGCAUCGAUGAAGAACGCAGC
This 318-nucleotide unclassified non-coding RNA is filed under the name uncultured fungus. RNAcentral describes it as "partial contains small subunit ribosomal RNA, internal transcribed spacer 1, and 5.8S ribosomal RNA". The stretch from base 1 to 73 matches the Rfam family "Eukaryotic small subunit ribosomal RNA", at positions 1759 to 1831 of the family's 1831-position model. Lineage: Eukaryota; Fungi. The record is from RNAcentral.